AUCCAAAAUAGCAGCAUGAGGCCACGCAGCAGAAGGGAAACGGGGUUUUGUCCCUUAUUAACCGAUGCACGCUAUCAAUUUUAGCAGAGGAAUCCUUAAAAUAGAGGCAUGUCCCUUUUUAGUUGCCGUCGUGUCCCAACACCACAUGUCUGACCUUCCGCUUUGCGUGCGGUGUGCUGUGUAUUUCUAUAGCUGACUAACAGCAGUUGGUGAGGGAGGACGGUGGCUGCUGCCAGCAGAAUUCCCAGCACCUGAUACCUGAGGAUCGAGCUCAGUGUGUGUUUGCUCUGCCUGGAACACGGGAGUGGAGGCUGCUUUGUUUGUGCUGCAGAGCCUAGCUGAAACCACACAGCGCUCCUCUUGCAAAGAGGCUCUUGAAAUACUUGGAUUUGCCCCAGCUUUGCUUAAUGAAUGACACAGGUGAAGCAUAAAGCUGUUUUCCCAUGGUGCAUGUAGUCGGCGGUGCCACUUCCUUGCUCCAUAUCCACAUAGAGCCCUUGCUCAAGGGGCUUAUGAGUGCACUGCCUGUAUGGCAAAGUACCUGUGAGGAUAAUACCAGCACCCGAGGGCACCCUGAGGCUGUUUGCUGUUUGUGGUUGGCAAACCAUGCCCAUGGCUCUUGCUACAAUAAAAGCUUUUCUGGAAA
Molecule: long non-coding RNA, 646 nt
Organism: Gallus gallus (chicken)
Lineage: Eukaryota; Metazoa; Chordata; Aves; Galliformes; Phasianidae
Exons: 2
Source: RefSeq, a predicted model, not a curated record